Molecule: ribosomal RNA, 279 nt
Filed under: uncultured bacterium
Lineage: Bacteria
Description: partial 16S ribosomal RNA
Rfam family: Bacterial small subunit ribosomal RNA
Source: RNAcentral
UGCCAGCAGCCGCGGUAAUACGAAGGGGGCUAGCGUUGUUCGGAAUAACUGGGCGUAAAGCGCACGUAGGCGGAUUGGAAAGUUAGAGGUGAAAUCCCUGGGCUCAACCCAGGAACUGCCUUUAAAACUAUCAGUCUAGAGGUCGAGAGAGGUGAGUGGAAUUCCGAGUGUAGAGGUGAAAUUCGUAGAUAUUCGGAGGAACACCAGUGGCGAAGGCGGCUCACUGGCUCGAUACUGACACUGAAAGACGAAAGCAUGGGUAGCGAAGAGGAUUAGAUA